This 28-nucleotide non-coding RNA is filed under the name Homo sapiens (human). Lineage: Eukaryota; Metazoa; Chordata; Mammalia; Primates; Hominidae. The record is from RNAcentral.
UAGCACAGGGCAGAUCAGACGGUGUCUC